AGUGCACCUGGGCCAGUCAGACCUAAUGGCCAACGUGUUAAUCAGCUCUUUGAAAAAAACUUCUUCACCUUUCAUCUCUCAUGAUAUUGAGGGAACAGGAAAAUAUUUUACCAUUUAACUCCAGGCCUUGCCAACAGUUUUAGCAGAGCAUUAAUCCCAUAAAUCAGUCAUGCCUUGUGCUCUCCACAGGCUCUGCAGUUGGUGAACAGCAGAUAAGCCCUUACAGGGUGUUCUGAAAGCCAGGGAAAUACAUCUGUGUCAGAUCAAAGGCGGAGCUGAGUUCCAGGGUUGGAUCUGUCCUGCCAGUAGCCCAGUCUUGUUUUGACCAGAGAAUGAAGAUUAAUAGACCUUUUAAUUGUAUUCAAGCAAGUACAUUAUGAGAUUAUCACCUCAGAAGUGCCAAGCCAUUUAGCCUAAAAGGGAAAAGAAACCUGAUUUCUUCUGUAAACCUGGAAAAAUACUUUUCUAGCUAAAAAAAACCAAAACAAAUUUCUA
Molecule: long non-coding RNA, 495 nt
Organism: Pseudopipra pipra
Lineage: Eukaryota; Metazoa; Chordata; Aves; Passeriformes; Pipridae
Exons: 3
Source: RefSeq, a predicted model, not a curated record